This 1124-nucleotide ribosomal RNA is filed under the name Salmonella enterica subsp. enterica serovar Oranienburg. RNAcentral describes it as "partial 23S ribosomal RNA". It matches the Rfam family "Bacterial large subunit ribosomal RNA", at positions 689 to 1793 of the family's 2925-position model. Lineage: Bacteria; Pseudomonadati; Pseudomonadota; Gammaproteobacteria; Enterobacterales; Enterobacteriaceae. The record is from RNAcentral.
UGGGCGUUAAGUUGCAGGGUAUAGACCCGAAACCCGGUGAUCUAGCCAUGGGCAGGUUGAAGGUUGGGUAACACUAACUGGAGGACCGAACCGACUAAUGUUGAAAAAUUAGCGGAUGACCUGUGGCUGGGGGUGAAAGGCCAAUCAAACCGGGAGAUAGCUGGUUCUCCCCGAAAGCUAUUUAGGUAGCGCCUCGUGAAUUCAUCUCCGGGGGUAGAGCACUGUUUCGGCUAGGGGGCCAUCCCGGCUUACCAACCCGAUGCAAACUGCGAAUACCGGAGAAUGUUAUCACGGGAGACACACGGCGGGUGCUAACGUCCGUCGUGAAGAGGGAAACAACCCAGACCGCCAGCUAAGGUCCCAAAGUCAUGGUUAAGUGGGAAACGAUGUGGGAAGGCCCAGACAGCCAGGAUGUUGGCUUAGAAGCAGCCAUCAUUUAAAGAAAGCGUAAUAGCUCACUGGUCGAGUCGGCCUGCGCGGAAGAUGUAACGGGGCUAAACCAUGCACCGAAGCUGCGGCAGCGACACUCAGGUGUUGUUGGGUAGGGGAGCGUUCUGUAAGCCUGUGAAGGUGGCCUGUGAGGGUUGCUGGAGGUAUCAGAAGUGCGAAUGCUGACAUAAGUAACGAUAAAGCGGGUGAAAAGCCCGCUCGCCGGAAGACCAAGGGUUCCUGUCCAACGUUAAUCGGGGCAGGGUGAGUCGACCCCUAAGGCGAGGCCGAAAGGCGUAGUCGAUGGGAAACGGGUUAAUAUUCCCGUACUUGGUGUUACUGCGAAGGGGGGACGGAGAAGGCUAUGUUGGCCGGGCGACGGUUGUCCCGGUUUAAGCGUAUAGGUGUGUGUUCCAGGUAAAUCCGGUUCACUUUAACACUGAGGCGUGAUGACGAGGCGCUACGGUGCUGAAGCAACAAAUGCCCUGCUUCCAGGAAAAGCCUCUAAGCAUCAGGUAACAUCAAAUCGUACCCCAAACCGACACAGGUGGUCAGGUAGAGAAUACCAAGGCGCUUGAGAGAACUCGGGUGAAGGAACUAGGCAAAAUGGUGCCGUAACUUCGGGAGAAGGCACGCUGACAUGUAGGUGAAGUGAUUUACUCACGGAGCUGAAGUCAGUCGAAGAUACCAGCUGG